ACACAUGCAAGUCGAGGGGCAGCAUGAAGUUUGCUUGCAAACUUUGAUGGCGACCGGCGCACGGGUGAGUAACGCGUAUCCAACCUUCCCUAUAGUAGAGAAUAGCCCGGCGAAAGUCGGAUUAAUGCUCUAUGUUAUUCAAAGCGGACAUCUAAUUUGAAUCAAAGGUUCACCGCUAUAGGAUGGGGAUGCGUCUGAUUAGCUUGAUGGCGGGGUAACGGCCCACCAUGGCGACGAUCAGUAGGGGUUCUGAGAGGAAGGUCCCCCACAUUGGAACUGAGACACGGUCCAAACUCCUACGGGAGGCAGCAGUGAGGAAUAUUGGUCAAUGGGCGAGAGCCUGAACCAGCCAAGUAGCGUGCAGGAUGACGGCCCUAUGGGUUGUAAACUGCUUUCAUGCGGGGAUAAAGUCGGCUACGCGUAGCCGUUUGUAGGUACCGCAUGAAUAAGGACCGGCUAAUUCCGUGCCAGCAGCCGCGGUAAUACGGAAGGUCCGGGCGUUAUCCGGAUUUAUUGGGUUUAAAGGGAGCGCAGGCCGGAGGUCAAGCGUGACGUGAAAUGUAGCCGCUCAACGGCUGAGUUGCGUCGCGAACUGGUUUCCUUGAGUGAGUACGACGUCAGCGGAAUUCGUGGUGUAGCGGUGAAAUGCUUAGAUAUCACGAAGAACCCCGAUUGCGAAGGCAGCUGACGAGUCCUUUACUGACGCUAAAGCUCGAAGGUGCGGGUAUCGAACAGGAUUAGAUACCCUGGUAGUCCGCACGGUAAACGAUGGAUGCCCGCUGUUUGCGAUAUAUUGUAAGCGGCCAAGCGAAAGCGUUAAGCAUCCCACCUGGGGAGUACGCCGGCAACGGUGAAACUCAAAGGAAUUGACGGGGGCCCGCACAAGCGGAGGAACAUGUGGUUUAAUUCGAUGAUACGCGAGGAACCUUACCCGGGCUUGAACUGCAGGAGAACGAUCCAGAGAUGGUGAGGCCCUUCGGGGCUCCUGUGGAGGUGCUGCAUGGUUGUCGUCAGCUCGUGCCGUGAGGUGUCGGCUUAAGUGCCAUAACGAGCGCAACCCCUUUCGCCAGUUGCCAUCAGGUGAUGCUGGGCACUC
RNAcentral lists this ribosomal RNA (1096 nucleotides) under uncultured bacterium. RNAcentral describes it as "bacterial SSU rRNA". It matches the Rfam family "Bacterial small subunit ribosomal RNA", at positions 51 to 1140 of the family's 1533-position model. The record is from RNAcentral.